GAACAGGGUGAGCAGCAUGGAUCUUUAUGUCAAUGCCAUGGAGAUAUUCUCUCUGAGCUCCAGAGCUGAAGCUGGACCGGGAGAGGAGAGAGCAGCCCAGGGGACGGAGUAGGAGUAGAAUGAAGCUGACCCUACAUGCUGAUCUUAGAAGGCAGCAGGAGCGAGGAGCAGAAACAGACCUCCCCUCAGACCUGAAACCCAGGCCCCCCAUAACCCCUCCCCUACAGAGCAGCAGCACUAAAGGAGUAGACACAGGUGGAGGAGAGGAGAGAGGAGAGGAGAGCAGACACAGGACACAGAUUGAACAGCAACAUCCAACACAGCCCACAGUCUACAGGAGGAGGGGAGGAGGAGGAGGACUCAGGAGGACUGGUGUCUGGACAAAACAUUAAAC
RNAcentral lists this long non-coding RNA (394 nucleotides) under Salmo salar (Atlantic salmon). RNAcentral describes it as "lncRNA (ENSSSAG00000116886.1)". The record is from RNAcentral. Lineage: Eukaryota; Metazoa; Chordata; Actinopteri; Salmoniformes; Salmonidae.